GGGGAAUAUUGGACAAUGGGCGCAAGCCUGAUCCAGCCAUGCCGCGUGAGUGAUGAAGGCCUUAGGGUUGUAAAGCUCUUUCGCCGGUGAAGAUAAUGACGGUAACCGGAGAAGAAGCCCCGGCUAACUUCGUGCCAGCAGCCGCGGUAAUACGAAGGGGGCUAGCGUUGCUCGGAAUUACUGGGCGUAAAGCGCACGUAGGCGGUUUCUUAAGUCGGGGGUGAAAUCCUGGAGCUCAACUCCAGAACUGCCUUCGAUACUGGGAAACUUGAGUUCGGGAGAGGUGAGUGGAACUGCGAGUGUAGAGGUGAAAUUCGUAGAUAUUCGCAAGAACACCAGUGGCGAAGGCGGCUCACUGGCCCGAUACUGACGCUGAGGUGCGAAAGCGUGGGGAGCAAACA
RNAcentral lists this ribosomal RNA (401 nucleotides) under uncultured bacterium. Its description in RNAcentral is "bacterial SSU rRNA". It matches the Rfam family "Bacterial small subunit ribosomal RNA", at positions 356 to 774 of the family's 1533-position model. The record is from RNAcentral.